AUGAAACAUGAUGUAUGUGGACCUGUUCUGCAAACACUGUAUGUGAUAACACAGAAAACAAAAGGCACAGAUAACUGGGAUCUGAAGUUUGUCAAGAAAUUGUGCAAAGCAGUUGCUCCUUUUGUAAAGGACCAUCACUCCUCAGACAUCAGAGUCUUCACAUAUGGUGUCAUUGCAAACUUACUUUCAGUUGAACAUGUGGGUGACAUCUUUACAUCAGUGGGGAUAACUGCAGUGCCUGAGGACAUACUGCUGUCUGCAGAAAUGAGCAACAAUGACAAGCUGAAAGAAGUUCUCAGAAGACUGAAAAAUCACUUCAGCAAACCAAAUGUGGAAUGUGAGGACUGUAUAGCCUCACCUGGGCCGAGGAAAAAGAAGAAGAAGAAAAAGAAGGAGAAGGAAAAAUCAAACAGGGAAGAAGACCCAAAUGACAAGUAUUUGAGUGAUGCAACUGAUCCAACAUCAGUUCCUGUUGUGGAGUCAACUUCAAAUGUUCAGCCACUCCACUCCAACACCACUGUGUCAUCAGAUACACACACAUGGCUACAAAUCAGCAAGAGGUGGAGAGAAAAAUUAGAGAAUCUGGUUAGCACUGAUAGAAGCAGAGUAACCAGAAUUGGGAGCAUGAUUUAUGUGAAAGAUGAAGAGUUCCGAAUAGCAGAGGGCAGUGAUGGUACUGAAGUCUUCUUGGGGCUGAGAGAUGAUGGCACUAAGGUUGCUAUUAAGAGAAUGAAAAAAAGCCACUAUAAAACGCUGAGGAAUGAAGAGGGAUUUUUACGACUUCCAGGACUUGAUCAUCAAUCUAUUGUACGAUACGUUGACUUUGCAGAGGAUGAGGACUUUGGAUAUCUUGGUCUUCAGCUUUGUGAAUACACCCUGGAAGAAUGCAUCAGAAACAAUGAUGGUGGUCUGCUGAAAGAGAAACUUGUCUAUCAGGUUCUGGAGAGUUUAAAAGUGCUUAAUUGUCAAAAUCCUCCAAUUCUCCAGCGUGAUCUCAAACCACAGAAUGUUUUGAUUGGUAAGGAAAGUUUAAAAUAUUAA
This 1041-nucleotide long non-coding RNA is filed under the name Sparus aurata (gilthead seabream). RNAcentral's name for it is "lncRNA (ENSSAUG00010026703.1)". The record is from RNAcentral. Lineage: Eukaryota; Metazoa; Chordata; Actinopteri; Spariformes; Sparidae.